Phascolarctos cinereus (koala) is the source of this 1402-nucleotide non-coding RNA. NCBI's taxonomy places the organism in Eukaryota, Metazoa, Chordata, Mammalia, Diprotodontia, Phascolarctidae. The record is from RefSeq and is a predicted model, not a curated record.
CUCCCCCUUCUGUGACCUCUGCUCCCCCCCAGGAGGACAGCCUGGAGGAAGAGGGAAUGGCUCCUGCCCUGACAGCCAGGCCCGGGAAGCUUCAGAGGCUGCAUUGAGUGCAGAAACAUCUACAAACAAAAUGUCAAACCAGCAAAACGACUUCCAGUUGAAGAAUUUACCAUUGGUGUGAUAGCUGACCUUGAUGCCAUCUUUGUCCUCAUUGAAGGUUGUUUGACAACGUGGCUGAAAGCAUCAUGCCAAAAAGAAUGAAAAGAAGCACACAGCCUUGUUUCACUCCAUUGGUGACUGGGAAAGCAUGAGAGCAUCAUCCUUUAUCCGUAAUCUGGGCAAGCAUCCCAUCAUGAAAUUGAUGUAUGAUACUGAUUAACUUCUGUGGGCAACAAAAUUCUGACAAUUUUCCAUAAGCCCUGACAACUGAGACCAUCAAAGGCCUUUGUCAGAUGUACAGCUGUAUACAGAUCUGUGUUCUGGUCUGAGCACUUCUCAUGUAGCUGUCAGGCAGCAGACACUAUACUGAAUGUUCCUUGGCCCUUUCUGAAACCACACUGGCUCUCAGGUAAAUGACCAUCUUCUAAGUAAAGGAUUAGCCUAUUAAGGAGGACCCUGGCAGAGUCUUGCCAGCAAUGACUAAGAACGAGGACCCCCUCCCCCAUCAUUGUCACAGAACAGUCUUGUUUUCCUUGACCUUUAUAGAGAGAAACAGUGGAGGCAUCCUUGAGCUUCUGGGGGAUAACCUUCUCUUGCCAUAUACCCCAGAAAGUUUCAGUCAGCUUUGGGAUGAGAACUGGACUGCUGCCUUAUAAACCUCAGCUGGAAUAGAAUUAGCACCAGGUGUUUUGCCGGGUGAAAGGAGCCUAAUGGCAUUCAAAACCUCUUCUUCAGUUGGAACUUCAGCAAGGGAGGAAUUGACUUCACACCAAGGUAAAUUGUGAAUCCCUUCAGCAUUGAUUCAUGAUGGUCUAUUGAGAACACUGUGGAAGUGUUCAACCCAUCUCUCUAGCAUCAUGUCCUUAUCACCAGUCAAUGUGGCUCCAUCAGCACUGAGUACUUGAGAUGUACCAUAGGUCUUAGCCCAUAAAUAGCCUUCAGGGCAUUAUAAAAGCACUUUGGAUUGUCACUAUCAGCAUAAAACUGAAUUUCAUCUGCCUUCCUACUGAGCCAAGAAUCUUGCCUCUCUCUAAGCUUUGCUUGUGCGUUACUUCUGAUGCUGUUUAGAUGCUGCCUUCUUAGAAAUGAUAUUAUUUCAAAUUAGAUGUUAUCCUGUUGCUAAACCCAGUAGAGUUUUUUUUCCUUUAGUAGCUUCUGAAUUUCCCCAUCAUUUUUGUGAAAGCAGUGUUGAUGUUUGUUAGUGUUCUGACCCAAAUGAAUAAAUGCAGUGCUGUGUACCAGA